AGUAGUUAGCAGCAGUUGGGACAGUAGUUAGCGGCAGUUGGGGCAGUAGUUAGCGGCAGUUGGGACAGUAGUUAGCGGCAGUUGGGACAGUAGUUAGCGGCAGUUGGCACAGUCGUUAGCGGCAGUUGGGACUGUAGUUAGGGGCAGUUGGGAGAGUAGUUAGGGGCAGUUGGGACAGUAGUUGGGGCAGUUGGGACAGUAGUUAGCAGCAGUUGGGACAGUAGUUAGACACAGUUGGGACAGUAGUUAGACACAGUUGGGACAGUCAUUAGCGACAGUUGGGACAGUAGUUAGCGACAGUUGGGACAGUAGUUAGCGGCAGUUGGGACAGUAUUUGGGGCAGUUGGGACAGUAGUUGGAGGCAGUUGGGGCAGUUAGGGGCAGUUGGGACAGUAGUUAGCGACAGUUGGGACAGUAGUUAGACAUAGUUGGGACAGUCAUUAGCGACAGUUGGGACAGUAGUUAGCGACAGUUGGGACAGUAGUUAGCGGCAGUUGGGACAGUAUUUGGGGCAGUUGGGACAGUAGUUGGAGGCAGUUGGGGCAGUUAGGGGCAGUUGGGACAGUAGUUAGCGGAAGUUGGGACAGUCGUUAGCGACAGUUGGGACAGUAGUUAGCGGCAGUUGGGACAGUAGUUAGCGACAGUUGGGACAGUAGUUAGCGGCAGUUGGGACAGUAGUUAGGGGCAGUUGGGACAGUAGUUAGCGACAGUUGGGACAGUAGUUAGACAUAGUUGGGACAGUAGUUAGCGGCAGUUGGGACAGUAGUUAGGGGCAGUUGGGACAGUAGUUAGGGGCAGUUGGGACAGUAGUUGGGGCAGUUGGGACAGUAGUUAGCGGCAGUUGUGACAGUAUUAGGGGCAGUUGGGACAGUACUUAGCGGCAGUUGGGGCAGUUGGGACAGUAGUUAGCGGCAGUUGGGACAGUAGUUAGCGACAGUUGGGACAGUAGUUAGCGGAAGUUGGGACAGUAGUUAGGGGCAGUUGGGACAGUAGUUAGCAGCAGUUGGGACAGUAGUUAGGGGCAGUUGGGACAGUAGUUUGCAGCAGUUGGGACAGUAGUUAGCGACAGUUGGGACAGUAGUUAGCGGAAGUUGGGACAGUAGUUAGCGGCACUUGGGACAGUAGUUAGCAACAGUUGGGACAGUAGUUGGGGCAGUAGGGACAGUAGUUAGCGACAGUAGGGAUUGUAGUUAGCGACAGUUGGGACAGUAGUUUGCGCCAGUUGGGAAAGUAGUUAGGGGCAGUUGGGACAGUAGUUAGCAACAGUUGGGAAAGUAGUUAGGGGUAGUUGGGACAGUAGUUAGCUGCAGUUGGGACA
Molecule: long non-coding RNA, 1318 nt
Organism: Ictalurus punctatus (channel catfish)
Lineage: Eukaryota; Metazoa; Chordata; Actinopteri; Siluriformes; Ictaluridae
Source: Ensembl